UGGGGAAUUUUGGACAAUGGGCGAAAGCCUGAUCCAGCAAUGCCGCGUGUGUGAAGAAGGCCUUCGGGUUGUAAAGCACUUUUGUCCGGAAAGAAAUCCUUGGCUCUAAUACAGUCGGGGGAUGACGGUACCGGAAGAAUAAGCACCGGCUAACUACGUGCCAGCAGCCGCGGUAAUACGUAGGGUGCAAGCGUUAAUCGGAAUUACUGGGCGUAAAGCGUGCGCAGGCGGUUUGCUAAGACCGAUGUGAAGUCCCCGGGCUCAACCUGGGAACUGCAUUGGUGACUGGCAGGCUAGAGUAUGGCAGAGGGGGGUAGAAUUCCACGUGUAGCAGUGAAAUGCGUAGAGAUGUGGAGGAAUACCGAUGGCGAAGGCAGCCCCCCUGGGCCAAUACUGACGCUCAUGCACGAAAGCGUGGGGAGCAAACAGGAUUAGAUACCCUGGUAGUCCACGCCCUAAACGAUGUCAACUAGUUGUUGGGGAUUCAUUUCCUUAGUAACGUAGCUAACGCGUGAAGUUGACCGCCUGGGGGAGUACGGUCGCAAGAUUAAAACUCAAAGGAAUUGACGGGGUCAUAGCUGUUUCCU
This 587-nucleotide ribosomal RNA is filed under the name uncultured bacterium. RNAcentral's name for it is "partial 16S ribosomal RNA". It matches the Rfam family "Bacterial small subunit ribosomal RNA", at positions 355 to 1375 of the family's 1533-position model. The record is from RNAcentral.